GUGAGGAAUUUUCCGCAAUGGGCGAAAGCCUGACGGAGCAAUGCCGCGUGAAGGAUGAAGGCCUAUGGGUUGUAAACUUCUUUUCUCAGAAAAGAAUUAUGACGGUAUCUGAGGAAUAAGCAUCGGCUAACUCUGUGCCAGCAGCCGCGGUAAGACAGAGGAUGCAAGCGUUAUCCGGAAUGAUUGGGCGUAAAGCGUCUGUAGGUUGUUUAAAAAGUAUUCUGUCAAAGAUUAGGGCUUAACCCUAGAUAGGCAGAAUAAACUUUUAAGCUAGAGUUUGGUAGAGGCAGAGGGAAUUCCCGGUGGAGAGGUGAAAUGCGUAGAUAUCGGGAGGAACACCAAAGGCGAAGGCACUCUGCUGGGCCAAUACUAACACUGAGAGACGAAAGCGAGGGGAGCAAAUGGGAUUAGAAACCCUUGUAGUCC
This 426-nucleotide ribosomal RNA is filed under the name uncultured bacterium. Its description in RNAcentral is "partial 16S ribosomal RNA". It matches the Rfam family "Bacterial small subunit ribosomal RNA", at positions 354 to 796 of the family's 1533-position model. The record is from RNAcentral.